CGGAGCUCGGCGCUUGUGAAAGCGGAAAGUCGAGCCCAGGACGCCUCUAACAGGCGAGCGGUGGUGCCCCGAGUCCGGUGCUCACCGGACGCGGGCCUAUCAGUCUGGACCUGUUCCGAGUUCACUGGCGAGAUCCUAGCUGGCCUGGGUGGCCCAGCUGUGCAAGAUGACGUGGGGACCCGGGAUAGCUUUCGGAACCUGGAAUUGCGGGCCUGAGACUCGGUGGCUUCCCGUUUAUAUGCUCGGGCCUAGUGGUCUGGCUGCAGUAGAGUCCACAUCAGGAUGACAGCUGGCAGAGUCUUUAUAGAGCAGACGCCAAGUCCCAGCACUAGACACAGGAGAAGAAAACCGAGACUUAAGACUAGCUAGAACAACCCAGCUAAGGCCUUGCUGUAACUGGGAGGUCAUGCGGGCCGCUACUUUUCCAUCCUUCCCCCUGGUGUUCGACAUUGCAGUAGAUCCUUUCAAACCCAGGACUGAAGAAUGAUGGGUUGGCUAGAUGGAAUGAGAUUCGAGGGGUCCCUGUAUGGACCCCUGAGUAUCAGUGUAGGGUGAAAACAAAACCCCAAACAACUCACACCUUGGGUAAGCUUUCACUGAAAGUUUGAACUCUCCAAAUACUGUGCUUGGCCCGGUUCCUGGCUACACUCCUUAUGAGGCUGCCACCACCUGCCACCUCCUCUAGGUAUCUCGGCAUAAGGCAGUUUCCCACUUCCAGGAAUGCCAUUUGAGUAGGAGGGCUAAUAAGGCCUGAAGAAUGUAAAAUUAAAAAUCUGGGACUUUUAAAUUCCAUCCCUUGUUGCCUGAUGUGUGUUCUCUGUGUGUGGUAUGUGGAGGAAUUGUGAAUUUUUAUAUUUGUGUAAAUACAAUCAUGAAGGUGCUGGAGUCCCAAGUGAUUUUUGGCUAUGUGCUCUUCAAAAAGCUAGUAAUGAAUUGGUAAUAUGUUUUUACUUAAACUCAAAUCACCCAUUUUAACCUCAGAGUUGCCCUUUGAAUUCAAGAUUUUUGUUCUUGUUUUACAGGUGACGAGACUGAGACUGAGAGGCUCAAGCCUUGGACACUAUGUAAGUUCAAGUGCACAGGCUAGAUUCAGAACCAAUCGUUGGACUCCGGUGGUGCUGCCUUUCUUUUGUCCCAAAGAGCAGAAUCAAUUGGCAGGGGACUAUCUUGAAAGAGGACAUGUUCUUGGUCAUCAUCGUACAAGAAAGUCAAGACAAACACUAAAGUGUUUUCAAAUCACCUCUAAGUUCUGA
Molecule: long non-coding RNA, 1253 nt
Filed under: Cricetulus griseus (Chinese hamster)
Lineage: Eukaryota; Metazoa; Chordata; Mammalia; Rodentia; Cricetidae
Description: lncRNA (ENSCGRG00000026356.1)
Source: RNAcentral